GACGAACCGUGCGAACGUUAUUCGGAAUCACUGGGCUUAAAGCGCGUGUAGGCGGGGCGGCACGUCGGUCGCUGAAAGCCCCCGGCUCAACCGGGGAACGGGCGCCGAUACGACCGCCCUCGAGGGACGUAGGGGGACCUGGAACUUCUGGUGGAGCGGUGAAAUGCGUUGAGAUCGGAAGGAACGCCCGUGGCGAAAGCGAGGUCCUGGACGUCUGCUGACGCUGAGACGCGAAAGCCAGGGGAGCCGAACGGG
RNAcentral lists this ribosomal RNA (255 nucleotides) under uncultured bacterium. RNAcentral's name for it is "partial 16S ribosomal RNA". It matches the Rfam family "Bacterial small subunit ribosomal RNA", at positions 524 to 776 of the family's 1533-position model. The record is from RNAcentral.